GAUGAACGCUGGCGGCGUGCCUAAUACAUGCAAGUCGAGCGAACGGACGAUAAGCUUGCGUCUCUGAUGUUAGCGGCUGACGGGUGAGUAACACGUGGAUAACCUACCUAUAUUUCGGGGAUAACUUCGGGAAACCGGAUCUAAUACCGGAUAAUAUUUUGAACCGCAUGGUUCAAAAGUUAUAGACGGUCUUGCUGUCACUUAUAGAUGAAUCCGCGCUGCAUUAGCUAGUUGGUAAGGUAACGGCUUACCAAGGCAACGAUGCAUAGCCGACCUGAGAGGGUGAUCGGCCACACUGGAACUGAGACACGGUCCAGACUCCUACGGGAGGCAGCAGUAGGGAAUCUUCCGCAAUGGGCGAAAGCCUGACGGAGCAACGCCGCGUGAGUGAUGAAGGCCUUCGGAUCGUAAAACUCUGUUAUUAGGGAAGAACAUAUGUGUAAGUAACUGUGCCCAUCUUGACGGUACCUAAUCAGAAAGCCACGGCUAACUACGUG
RNAcentral lists this ribosomal RNA (497 nucleotides) under uncultured bacterium. Its description in RNAcentral is "partial 16S ribosomal RNA". It matches the Rfam family "Bacterial small subunit ribosomal RNA", at positions 28 to 507 of the family's 1533-position model. The record is from RNAcentral.